Molecule: ribosomal RNA, 237 nt
Filed under: uncultured Lactobacillus sp.
Lineage: Bacteria; Bacillati; Bacillota; Bacilli; Lactobacillales; Lactobacillaceae
Description: partial 16S ribosomal RNA
Rfam family: Bacterial small subunit ribosomal RNA
Source: RNAcentral
CCUGCCCAAGAGAUCGGGAUAACACCUGGAAACAGAUGCUAAUACCGGAUAACAACAGAUGAUGCCUAUCAACUGUUUAAAAGAUGGUUCUGCUAUCACUCUUGGAUGGACCUGCGGUGCAUUAGCUAGUUGGUAGGGUAACGGCCUACCAAGGCGAUGAUGCAUAGCCGAGUUGAGAGACUGAUCGGCCACAUUGGGACUGAGACACGGCCCAAACUCCUACGGGAGGCAGCAGAA